Falco peregrinus (peregrine falcon) is the source of this 1743-nucleotide long non-coding RNA. RefSeq lists it as uncharacterized. The transcript is spliced from 2 exons. The record is from RefSeq and is a predicted model, not a curated record. NCBI's taxonomy places the organism in Eukaryota, Metazoa, Chordata, Aves, Falconiformes, Falconidae.
GCAGCCCGACGUGGCGGCGGCGGGAGGUGGGUGAGGCGCCCCGGCCCGCGGGCCAAGAGCGCGGUGCGGCUGCCGGGCCGGGCGCUCCCGCCCCGCCUUCCCCCCCCCGUCCGGCGCCGCAGCUCGGGGGAGGCGGGUGUCGCCGAGGCGGCAGGGGCGGGGCGGGGGCGGGCGGCCGCGGCGAGCCGCCGCCUCGCUGGAGCCGGAGCGCCCCGAGGCCUGCGGGGGGCCUCAGCCUUGCGGGGGGCGCGGGGCGGGCCCGGCGGCGGCUGGCGGGGAGGAGCGGCGCUCCGAGGGGCGCGGGGGAGCGGAGGAGGGCCGAGCCCGGCCGGAGCCGGGGCAGCGCCGGGCUCCCCGAGAGCCGCCCCGCAGCCCGCCGGUGACGCGCUCGGGUGGCAUUUGGAGCUCUGCUGUGUCACAUACUGUGCUAAGCCCUGUAAAUAGAAGAUCUCUGAUGACAGAAAGCGUACCUAGUUAUAAAUACCUAGGUUGCGGGCAACAGGGGCUCCCUGGGCCGAGCAGCCAGAAAGUGCUCCAUCUGAUUAAACGCUCUAUAUUUAGAUGAUGACCAAACUAAACCGUCCAGUUGACUGGGACACUAAAACCAUAUAAACCUGUCGCAAAACUUACUAAUUGCUUGUAAAGAAAAGGAACGGGGUAGGCAAUUUUAACAGAGCCCUCCAUAACAUCAGUACACCUACGAAGUUAAGACAUUGGAACUAUACUAACCCUGGAACGCAGUUUAUUGCUAGUGAGAAGAAUUCAAAGCUAACUUCACACGAGUAACUCCUUCAGGUACAGCACGAGCCACAACCUUUCAAACUGUCUGAAUGCUUUCAGUGACUGUAGUUACUCAGUCUUGGCAAGCUCAAAAGUUAGUUAAUAUGACACUACCGGGUAUGGGAAGUUUACCCCAACGGACAAAAUAAAAGUGCUUACAACAGCUUCUGGGAAAUCUCCUAGAGGGGAUUCUGAGCUGCAAAUAACAAAAAGACCUGCUCAAAGAGAAGUGCCUGCUUUUACUUUGGAGAAGUAUUUUGCAUUAGCCCCACACAGGCACAUUUGGGCAAAGGGCACCUAAACGCACAUGAAAUACUUCUGUUCAGAAAAGUUGGGUUUACAAAUCUUCAGUGAAAACCCCACAACAAUGCUGCUAAGGAAAACUCAGUAUUUGGAAGACUUUACGACGCUACAACCACCUGCUUCAUCCCAUCCUGCUCUGCUUCAAACAGUAUUAGCACUGCCCGUCACCCUCUGUAACCCUUGCCCCUGUGACUACUCAGAUUGUUCUGCUACACUGAAAGACACAGUGCAGGGUUUUUUUCCAACACAAAGCAUGCAAGAACAAAGGUGAAAUAUUGACAACAGCAAGCUUUUCAAGAUUCUGUUCAUUUUAUGUGAGAAACUUCAUCCAUUCCCCAACAACAGCAAGUCUUUCUUCUUUUGUAGAACUUAAGGUUCUCGUGUUAACUGGAGGACUGAAGGGGAAAACAUUCAUCUGCAGAUGGGCUCUCAAGCAACAUGGUCAGGACCGAGUUAUUCUGGAAAGCUGAAUUUUAUUCUAAUACUUAAAAUGUGAAAGGAUCUUUUACUGAUCGUACAAGUCAUCUUACGGAGUCCGUUCUCCAUAUUUUUAAUUUAAGAGCAACAGAGGAUUGCAUAUUCUAGCAUUCAAAAAAAUGUAUUAGUGUAGAUCUUCAACAUAACUCAAAAUAUAAAGCUACAUUUGUUAGCUGAUUAGUA